GGGUCAGUAGGUUGGUCGUGCCACCGGUACGUACUGGUCUCACUGAUUCCUCCUUCCUGAAGAACCGUAAUGCCAUUAAUUUGGUGUGGCGGGGAAACAGGACUGUUACUUUGAAAAAAUUAGAGUGUUUAAAGCAAGCUAACGCUUGAAUACAUUAGCAUGGAAUAAUGAAAUAGGACGAUCGAUCCUAUUUUGCUGGUUUCUAGGAUUGACGUA
RNAcentral lists this ribosomal RNA (216 nucleotides) under Glomeromycotina sp. RNAcentral's name for it is "partial small subunit ribosomal RNA". The stretch from base 40 to 216 matches the Rfam family "Eukaryotic small subunit ribosomal RNA", at positions 686 to 864 of the family's 1831-position model. Lineage: Eukaryota; Fungi; Glomeromycota. The record is from RNAcentral.